Molecule: ribosomal RNA, 483 nt
Filed under: uncultured bacterium
Lineage: Bacteria
Description: bacterial SSU rRNA
Rfam family: Bacterial small subunit ribosomal RNA
Source: RNAcentral
AUUGAACGCUGGCGGCAUGCCUUACACAUGCAAGUCGAACGGCAGCACGGGAGCAAUCCUGGUGGCGAGUGGCGAACGGGUGAGUAAUAUAUCGGAACGUGCCCAGUCGUGGGGGAUAACGUAGCGAAAGCUACGCUAAUACCGCAUACGAUCUAUGGAUGAAANCGGGGGAUCGCAAGACCUCGCGCGAUUGGAGCGGCCGAUAUCAGAUUAGGUAGUUGGUGAGGUAAAGGCUCACCAAGCCGACGAUCUGUAGCUGGUCUGAGAGGACGACCAGCCACACUGGGACUGAGACACGGCCCAGACUCCUACGGGAGGCAGCAGUGGGGAAUUUUGGACAAUGGGCGCAAGCCUGAUCCAGCAAUGCCGCGUGCAGGAUGAAGGCCUUCGGGUUGUAAACUGCUUUGUACGGAACGAAACGGUGAGCUCUAAUACAGUUUGCUAAUGACGGUACCGUAAGAAUAAGCACCGGCUAACUACGUG